This 69-nucleotide transfer RNA is filed under the name Abronia graminea. RNAcentral describes it as "tRNA-Val". It matches the Rfam family "tRNA". Rfam says of the family: Transfer RNA (tRNA) molecules are approximately 80 nucleotides in length. The record is from RNAcentral. Lineage: Eukaryota; Metazoa; Chordata; Lepidosauria; Squamata; Anguidae.
CAAAAAAUAGCUUAAACAAAGCGUUCAGCUUACAAUUGAACAAUGUCAGUGCAAACCCGACCUUUUUGA